This 758-nucleotide long non-coding RNA is filed under the name Chinchilla lanigera (long-tailed chinchilla). RNAcentral describes it as "lncRNA (ENSCLAG00000027447.1)". The record is from RNAcentral. Lineage: Eukaryota; Metazoa; Chordata; Mammalia; Rodentia; Chinchillidae.
UGUGAGGCCUUGCCCGGCUCCCACUCCUCAGCGAUCCCCUAGGCGCGGACCCAGUGCCUGCCCCUCCCCAGCGCUCUCUUUUCUAGUGCGUUCUGCGCUGCCCCUCCGCCGCUGCUCCGUUUUCUUUCCCUUUCUUUCUUUUUUCUCCUUCUCCUUCCCCCUCGCUCCCCCUUCUCCAGCUCCGUGUCAUUUCCUCCUUGGGCUCGCUCGCUGCCCUAGCGUCUGCAGUCCGGAGAGGAGGCGGAGCAGGGCGGCGCGGGCGGCGUAGCGCUGGAGAGCGAUGGUGGUGGAGCUGCUGGGGGCGGAGGCGACGUAGCCCCGGCAGAGAAGGAGCCCGCGGCGCCGCCGGAGCCGAGCCCACCAUGGAGAACCGGCCUGGGUCCUUCCAGUACGUCCCGGUGCAGCUGCAAGGGGGCGCGCCCUGGGGCUUCACCCUGAAGGGAGGUCUGGAACACUGCGAGCCGCUCACAGUGUCUAAGACUAUCAAAAAAUGAUUAUUCUUCAAACAACAAAACCUGAUCUUCCUGUCUCCUUUCCAUCAGUCAGGAUGAGACUUCUGAUGCCUGACUAGGCAGGAUCAAUGCCCCUUCAUCCUGAAGCAGCUAUAGGAAGGUGGACCUUUUGCAGCAGCUUCGAUUAAGAAUAGGGUGUCAAAAUCUUGGGGGAGAAAAAGAAGUAGGAUAGAAGAAAUUAAGGUAAGUAAAAAGAAGAUGAAAAAAUGUAUAAUUCUGAAUUCAUACUUUUAAGAAAACUACAGC